UUAGUACGGCGAGUGAAGCGGUAAAAGCUCAAAUUUGAAAUCUGGUACUUUCAGUGCCCGAGUUGUAAUUUGUAGAAUUUGUCUUUGAUUAGGUCCUUGUCUAUGUUCCUUGGAACAGGACGUCAUAGAGGGUGAGAAUCCCGUUUGGCGAGGAUACCUUUUCUCUGUAAGACUUUUUCGAAGAGUCGAGUUGUUUGGGAAUGCAGCUCAAAGUGGGUGGUAAAUUCCAUCUAAAGCUAAAUAUUGGCGAGAGACCGAUAGCGAACAAGUACAGUGAUGGAAAGAUGAAAAGAACUUUGAAAAGAGAGUGAAAAAGUACGUGAAAUUGUUGAAAGGGAAGGGCAUUUGAUCAGACAUGGUGUUUUUUGCAUGCACUCGCCUCUCGUGGGCUUGGGCCUCUCAAAAAUUUCACUGGGCCAACAUCAAUUCUGGCAGCAGGAUAAAUCAUUAAGAAUGUAGCUACUUCGGUAGUGUUAUAGCUUUUUGGAAUACUGUUAGCCGGGAUUGAGGACUGCGCUUCGGCAAGGAUGUUGGCAUAAUGGUUAAAUGCCGCCCGUCUUGAAC
This 564-nucleotide ribosomal RNA is filed under the name Hanseniaspora uvarum. RNAcentral's name for it is "partial large subunit ribosomal RNA". It matches the Rfam family "Eukaryotic large subunit ribosomal RNA", at positions 80 to 659 of the family's 3401-position model. The record is from RNAcentral. Lineage: Eukaryota; Fungi; Ascomycota; Saccharomycetes; Saccharomycodales; Saccharomycodaceae.